AGUGAACGCUGGCGGCGUGCUUAACACAUGCAAGUCGAACGAGAACGGAAUAUAGCUUGCUAUAUUUGUCAGCUAAGUGGCGCACGGGUGAGUAAUGUAUAGAUAACCUGCCCUUAAGAAAGGAAUAACAGUUGGAAACGACUGCUAAUGCCCUAUAUGCCUUUAAUACAUAAGUAUGCAAGGGAAACGCUUUAGUGCUUAAGGAUGGGUCUGUAUGGUAUCAGCUUGUUGGUGAGGUAAUGGCUCACCAAGGCUAUGACGCCUAACUGGUUUGAGAGGAUGAUCAGUCACAAUGGAACUGAGACACGGUCCAGACUCUUACAGGAGGCAGCUGUGGGGAAUAUUGCACAAUGGACGAAAGUCUGAUGCGGCGACGCCGCGUGGAGGAUGACACAUUUCGAUGCGUAAACUCCUUUUAUAUAGGAAGAUAAUGACGUUACGAUAUGAAUAAGCACCGGCUAACUCCCUGCCAGCCGCCGCUGUAA
This 485-nucleotide ribosomal RNA is filed under the name uncultured bacterium. Its description in RNAcentral is "partial 16S ribosomal RNA". It matches the Rfam family "Bacterial small subunit ribosomal RNA", at positions 29 to 523 of the family's 1533-position model. The record is from RNAcentral.